GCGGAAGUAGCUCAUCUGGUAGAGCGACAGCUUCCCAAGCUGUAGGCGGCGGGUUCGAGUCCCGUCUUCCGCU
This 73-nucleotide transfer RNA is filed under the name Flavisolibacter ginsenosidimutans. RNAcentral describes it as "Flavisolibacter sp. Gsoil 636 tRNA". It matches the Rfam family "tRNA". From Rfam's summary of the family: Transfer RNA (tRNA) molecules are approximately 80 nucleotides in length. Their secondary structure includes four short double-helical elements and three loops (D, anti-codon, and T loops). Further hydrogen bonds mediate the characteristic L-shaped molecular structure. tRNAs have two regions of fundamental functional importance: the anti-codon, which is responsible for specific mRNA codon recognition, and the 3' end, to which the tRNAs corresponding amino acid is attached (by aminoacyl-tRNA synthetases). tRNAs cope with the degeneracy of the genetic code in two manners: having more than one tRNA (with a specific anti-codon) for a particular amino acid; and 'wobble' base-pairing, i.e. permitting non-standard base-pairing at the 3rd anti-codon position. Lineage: Bacteria; Pseudomonadati; Bacteroidota; Chitinophagia; Chitinophagales; Chitinophagaceae. The record is from Rfam by way of RNAcentral. RNAcentral also lists the same sequence under 1 other name.